RNAcentral lists this ribosomal RNA (253 nucleotides) under uncultured bacterium. RNAcentral's name for it is "partial 16S ribosomal RNA". It matches the Rfam family "Bacterial small subunit ribosomal RNA", at positions 524 to 776 of the family's 1533-position model. The record is from RNAcentral.
UACAGAGGUCCCAAGCGUUGUUCGGAUUCACUGGGCGUAAAGGGUGCGUAGGUGGCAGUGUAAGUCUGAUGUGAAAGCUUCGAGCUUAACUCGAAAAUGGCAUUGGAUACUAUAUUGCUGGAGGUUUGGAGGGGGGACUGGAAUUCUCGGUGUAGAAGUGAAAUGCGUAGAUAUCGAGAGGAACACCGGUGGCGAAGGCGAGUCCCUGGACAACACCUGACACUGAGGCACGAAAGCUAGGGGAGCAAACAGG